UACGUAGGUGGCAAGCGUUGUCCGGAAUUAUUGGGCGUGAAGCGCGCGCAGGCGGUUUCUUAAGUCUGAUGUGAAAGCCCCCGGCUCAACUGGGGGGGGGCCUUGGAAACUGGGGGACUUGAGUGCAGAAGAGGAGAGCGGAAUUCCACGUGUAGCGGUGAAAUGCGUAGAGAUGUGGAGGAACACCAGUGGCGAAGGCGGCUCUCUGGUCUGUAACUGACGCUGAGGCGCGAAAGCGUGGGGAGCAAACAGG
This 253-nucleotide ribosomal RNA is filed under the name uncultured bacterium. RNAcentral's name for it is "partial 16S ribosomal RNA". It matches the Rfam family "Bacterial small subunit ribosomal RNA", at positions 524 to 776 of the family's 1533-position model. The record is from RNAcentral.